UACAGAGGGGGCAAGCGUUGUUCGGAAUUACUGGGCGUAAAGGGCGCGUAGGCGGCCCUCUAAGUCAGACGUGAAAUCCCCGGGCUCAACCCGGGAACUGCGUCUGAUACUGGAGGGCUUGAAUCCGGGAGAGGGAUGCGGAAUUCCAGGUGUAGCGGUGAAAUGCGUAGAUAUCUGGAGGAACACCAGAGGCGAAGGCGGAUCGCUGGGCCAACACUGACGCUGAGACGCGAAAGCUAGGGUAGCAAACGGGAUUAGAUACCCUUGUAGU
This 271-nucleotide ribosomal RNA is filed under the name uncultured bacterium. RNAcentral's name for it is "partial 16S ribosomal RNA". It matches the Rfam family "Bacterial small subunit ribosomal RNA", at positions 524 to 794 of the family's 1533-position model. The record is from RNAcentral.